Molecule: transfer RNA, 77 nt
Filed under: Chloroflexota bacterium
Lineage: Bacteria; Bacillati; Chloroflexota
Also listed under: 1 other name
Description: tRNA-Val
Rfam family: tRNA
About the family: Transfer RNA (tRNA) molecules are approximately 80 nucleotides in length.
Source: RNAcentral
GGGCGGUUAGCUCAGCUGGUUAGAGUACUUGCUCGACACGCAAGAGGUCAGUGGUUCGAGUCCACUACCGCCCACCA